Molecule: ribosomal RNA, 406 nt
Filed under: uncultured bacterium
Lineage: Bacteria
Description: partial 16S ribosomal RNA
Rfam family: Bacterial small subunit ribosomal RNA
Source: RNAcentral
AUUGAACGCUGGCGGCAGGCCUAACACAUGCAAGUCGAACGAGUGGCGGACGGGUGAGUAAUGUCUGGGAAACUGCCUGAUGGAGGGGGAUAACUACUGGAAACGGUCGCUAAAACCGCAUACCAUCAGAUGUGCCCAGAUGGGAUUAGCUGGUUGGGGGGGUAACGGCUCACAAAGGCGACGAUCCCUAGCGGGUCCGAGAGGCAGACCGGCCACAUGGGAACUGAGACACGGCCCAGCCUCCUACGGGAGGCAGCAGUGGGGAAUAUUGCACAAUGGGGGCAAUCCUGAUGCAGACAUGCCGCGUGUAUGAAGAAGGCCUUAGGGUUGUAAAGUACGUUCAUCGGGGAGGCGUUACCCGCAGAAGAAGCAACGGCUAACUCCGUGCCAGCAGCCGCGGUAAUUC